AACGGCCGUACCAUGCUGAAUAUACCGGUUCUCGUUAGAUCAGCGGAGUUAAGCAUCAUUGGGCGCGGUCAGUACUUGGGUGGGUGACCACCUGGGAACACUGCGUGCCGUU
This 112-nucleotide ribosomal RNA is filed under the name Caerostris darwini. The record is from RNAcentral. Lineage: Eukaryota; Metazoa; Arthropoda; Arachnida; Araneae; Araneidae.